RNAcentral lists this RNase P RNA (190 nucleotides) under Candidatus Stahliibacteriota bacterium. Its description in RNAcentral is "partial RNase P RNA component class A". It matches the Rfam family "Bacterial RNase P class A", at positions 159 to 367 of the family's 367-position model. From Rfam's summary of the family: Ribonuclease P (RNase P) is a ubiquitous endoribonuclease, found in archaea, bacteria and eukarya as well as chloroplasts and mitochondria. Its best characterised activity is the generation of mature 5'-ends of tRNAs by cleaving the 5'-leader elements of precursor-tRNAs. The record is from RNAcentral. Lineage: Bacteria; Candidatus Stahliibacteriota.
ACGGUGAGGUAAGAGCUCACCGCCUUUGUGGUGACACAAGGGGCACGGUAAACCCCACCUGGAGCAAGAUCAAAAAGGGACCUGGUGGCCCGCCUUUGGUCCCGGGUAGAUCGCUCGAGGCUGGUAGUAAUACCAGUCCCAGAUGAAUGGCCACCCUCGACAGAACUCGGCUUACAGCCUGCCCCGCAAA